GUGGGGAAUUUUGGACAAUGGGCGAAAGCCUGAUCCAGCCAUGCCGCGUGCAGGAAGAAGGCGCUACGCGUUGUAAACUGCUUUUAACCGGGAAGAAACCCCAGGACGUGUCCUGGGUUGACGGUACCGGAGGAAUAAGCACCGGCUAACUUCGUGCCAGCAGCCGCGGUAAUACGAAGGGUGCAAGCGUUAUCCGGAUUCAUUGGGUUUAAAGGGUGCGUAGGCGGAGCGUUAAGUCAGUGGUGAAAUCCUGCAGCUUAACUGUAGACUUGCCAUUGAUACUGGCGCUCUUGAGUGCGCUUGAAGUGGGCGGAAUGUGCCGUGUAGCGGUGAAAUGCUUAGAUAUGGCACAGAACACCAAUUGCGAAGGCAGCUCACUAAGGCGAUACUGACGCUGAGGCACGAAAGCGUGGGGAUCGAACAGGAUUAGAAACCCUAGUAGUCC
Molecule: ribosomal RNA, 445 nt
Filed under: uncultured bacterium
Lineage: Bacteria
Description: partial 16S ribosomal RNA
Rfam family: Bacterial small subunit ribosomal RNA
Source: RNAcentral